This 1008-nucleotide ribosomal RNA is filed under the name Triticum aestivum (bread wheat). Its description in RNAcentral is "partial small subunit ribosomal RNA". Lineage: Eukaryota; Viridiplantae; Streptophyta; Magnoliopsida; Poales; Poaceae. The record is from RNAcentral.
AUGGAGGAUCAUCCUGGCCAUCCUAUUUCCAACUAUGAUUUCUUGUCAGGGAAUGGUUGUCAUACGAAGAAAUUAGUUCAUAAGAACUACGACCAGGACUCCUCAUCAGCCAAGUCUGGCCGGUCACAACAAGAAGCAUCUGCAACGAGUGACAGUAAUCUAAAUGAGCAACACACCUCAAGACCCCCAUCACAAUCUGACAAUGACAAUGAUCAUGGGAAGCCCGACCAGCACAUGAUAAAGCCGCUUUUAUCUUUGGGGAACCCAGAGACUGUUGCUCCCCCGCCAAUGAUUGAUUGUAGCCAAUCAUUUGCAUAUGUUCCUUAUGCUGCUGAUGCUUAUGCUGGGAUCUUUCCAGGAUAUGCCUCACACGCUAUUGUUCAUCCCCAAUUAAAUGCUGCAACAAACUCUCGUGUGCCGCUCCCUAUUGAGCCUGCAGCAGAAGAGCCAAUGUUUGUUAAUGCAAAGCAAUAUCAUGCAAUUCUUAGGAGGAGGCAGAUACGUGCUAAAUUGGAGGCCCAAAAUAAGCUCGUGAAAGCCCGGAAGAUUUCAGCUACAGAUUUAUUCGGCUGCCUUGGUAAUAUUCAGAGGACUAAUCUGAUCCGUGAGUACAUUUUUGUACUAAUGAUGAAAACCUCUGGCAGAGGCAUAUUCCUACCAUACCUUCAUGAAUCUCGGCACCGCCAUGCCAUGAAGCGAGCUCGUGGAACAGGAGGGCGGUUCCUCAACACAAAGCAACUCGAGGAGCAGAAGCAGGUUUCAGGUGGUGCAAGCUGUACAAAGGUCCAUGGCAAGAAUACACUCCUUCAGGGUAGCCCGGCCUUCGCACCUUCGGCAUCAGCUCCCUCCAACAUGUCAAGCUUUUCAACAACCGGCAUGCUGGCUAAUCAGGAGCGCACCUGCUUCCCCUUGGUUGGCUUCCGUCCCACGGUUAGCUUCAGUGCACUGAAUGGCAACGGGAAGCUGGCCCCGAACGGCAUGCACCAGCGCGCUUCCAUGAUGAGGUAA